This 393-nucleotide ribosomal RNA is filed under the name uncultured bacterium. RNAcentral describes it as "partial 16S ribosomal RNA". It matches the Rfam family "Bacterial small subunit ribosomal RNA", at positions 523 to 918 of the family's 1533-position model. The record is from RNAcentral.
AUACGGAGGAUCCGAGCGUUAUCCGGAUUUAUUGGGUUUAAAGGGUGCGCAGGCGGGAGAUUAAGUCGGCGGUGAAAUUUUGCAGCUCAACUGUAAAAGUGCCUUCGAAACUGGGUUUCUUGAGUGUAGAUGAAGUAGGCGGAAUUUGUGGUGUAGCGGUGAAAUGCAUAGAUAUCACGAGGAACUCCGAUUGCGCAGGCAGCUUACUAAACUACUACUGACGCUCAGGCACGAAGGCGUGGGGAUCAAACAGGAUUAGAUACCCUGGUAGUCCACGCAGUAAACGAUGAUUACUAGCUGUUUGCGAUACAAUGUAAGCGGCUGAGCGAAAGCGUUAAGUAAUCCACCUGGGGAGUACGUUCGCAAGAAUGAAACUCAAAUGAAUUGACGGGG